RNAcentral lists this ribosomal RNA (301 nucleotides) under uncultured bacterium. RNAcentral describes it as "partial 16S ribosomal RNA". It matches the Rfam family "Bacterial small subunit ribosomal RNA", at positions 509 to 809 of the family's 1533-position model. The record is from RNAcentral.
CAGCCGCCGCGGUAAUACGAAGGGUGCAAGCGUUAAUCGGAAUUACUGGGCGUAAAGCGUGCGUAGGCGGUUUGUUAAGUCUGUUGUGAAAUCCCCGGGCUCAACCUGGGAAUGGCAAUGGAUACUGGCAAGCUAGAGUGUGUCAGAGGAUGGUGGAAUUCCCGGUGUAGCGGUGAAAUGCGUAGAGAUCGGGAGGAACAUCAGUGGCGAAGGCGGCCAUCUGGGACAACACUGACGCUGAGGCACGAAAGCGUGGGGAGCAAACAGGAUUAGAUACCCCGGUAGUCCCUGUCUCUUAUAA